UGUCUUCGGGGCAGGGUGAAAUUCCCGACCGGCGGUAAAGUCCGCGAGCGGAGGCUUGGGCCAAAGCAUGAAUCGGUGCAAUUCCGAUACCGACAGUAAAGUCUGGAUGGAAGAAGAU
Molecule: non-coding RNA, 118 nt
Filed under: human gut metagenome
Description: FMN riboswitch (RFN element)
Rfam family: FMN riboswitch aptamer (RFN element)
About the family: The RFN element is a highly conserved domain that is found frequently in the 5'-untranslated regions of prokaryotic mRNAs that encode for flavin mononucleotide (FMN) biosynthesis and transport proteins.
Source: RNAcentral